CCUACGGGAGGCAGCAGUAGGGAAUAUUGCUCAAUGGGGGAAACCCUGAAGCAGCAACGCCGCGUGAAGGAUGAAGGUUUUCGGAGUGUAAACUCCUUUUGUUAGAGAAGAUAAUUACGGUAUCUAACGAAUCAUCAUCGUCUAACUCCGUGCCAGCAGCCGCGGUAAUACGGAGGGUGCAAGCGUUACUCGGAAUCACUGGGCGUAAAGAGCGCGUAGGCGGGAUAGCAAGUCAGAUGUGAAAUCCUAUGGCUUAACCAUAGAACUGCAUUUGAAACUGUUAGUCUAGAGUAUGGGAGAGGUAGGUGGAAUUCUGGGUGUAGGGGUAAAAUCCGUAGAGAUCAAGAGGAACACUGAUUGCGAAGGCGACCUGCUAGAACAUAACUGACGCUGAUGCGCGAAAGCGUGGGGAGCAAACAGGAUUAGAUACCCCUGUAGUC
Molecule: ribosomal RNA, 440 nt
Filed under: uncultured bacterium
Lineage: Bacteria
Description: partial 16S ribosomal RNA
Rfam family: Bacterial small subunit ribosomal RNA
Source: RNAcentral